UGAACGCUGGCGGCAGGCCUAACACAUGCAAGUCGAGCGGUAACAGGUCUAGCUUGCUAGAUGCUGACGAGCGGCGGACGGGUGAGUAACGCGUAGGAAUCUGCCCGGUAGCGGGGGAUAGCCCAGAGAAAUUUGGAUUAAUACCGCAUACGCCCUAAGGGGGAAAGGAGGGGACUCUUCGGAGCCUUCCACUAUCGGAUGAGCCUGCGUCGGAUUAGCUUGUUGGUGGGGUAAUGGCCUACCAAGGCGACGAUCCGUAGCUGGUCUGAGAGGAUGAUCAGCCACACCGGAACUGAGACACGGUCCGGACUCCUACGGGAGGCAGCAGUGGGGAAUAUUGCACAAUGGGCGCAAGCCUGAUGCAGCCAUGCCGCGUGUGUGAAGAAGGCCUUCGGGUUGUAAAGCACUUUCAGCGAGGAGGAAAGGUUGUUGAUUAAUACUCAACAGCUGUGACGUUACUCGCAGAAGAAGCACCGGCUAACUCC
RNAcentral lists this ribosomal RNA (485 nucleotides) under uncultured bacterium. Its description in RNAcentral is "bacterial SSU rRNA". It matches the Rfam family "Bacterial small subunit ribosomal RNA", at positions 30 to 504 of the family's 1533-position model. The record is from RNAcentral.